Non-coding RNA from Schistosoma haematobium, 45 nucleotides. The record is from Rfam. NCBI's taxonomy places the organism in Eukaryota, Metazoa, Platyhelminthes, Trematoda, Strigeidida, Schistosomatidae.
AUCCAGCUGAUGAGUCCCAAAUAAGACGAAAGGCGCAUCCUGGAU